Molecule: ribosomal RNA, 357 nt
Filed under: uncultured Spongiobacter sp.
Lineage: Bacteria; Pseudomonadati; Pseudomonadota; Gammaproteobacteria
Description: bacterial SSU rRNA
Rfam family: Bacterial small subunit ribosomal RNA
Source: RNAcentral
UGAUCAUGGCUCAGAUUGAACGCUGGCGGCAGGCUUAACACAUGCAAGUCGAGCGGUAGCGGGAAGAGCUUGCUCUUUGCCGACGAGCGGCGGACGGGUGCGUAACACGUAGGAAUCUGCCCGGUAGUGGGGGAUAGCCCGGAGAAAUCCGGAUUAAUACCGCAUACGCACUAGCUCUUUAAGAGCGGUGGAAAGCAGGGGAUCGGUUCGCCGACCUUGCGCUAUCGGAUGAGCCUGCGUCGGAUUAGCUUGUUGGUGGGGUAAAGCCCACAAGGCAACGAUCCGUAGCUGGUCUGAGAGGAUGAUCAGCCACACUGGGACUGAGACACGGCCCAGACUCCUACGGGAGGCAGCAGA